Non-coding RNA from Planctomycetes bacterium GWF2_41_51, 84 nucleotides. Lineage: Bacteria; Pseudomonadati; Planctomycetota. The record is from Rfam.
GCCCAGGUGGCGGAAUUGGCAGACGCACUAGCUUGAGGGGCUAGCGAGCUUCGGCUCAUAGAGGUUCAAGUCCUCUCCUGGGCA